Molecule: long non-coding RNA, 835 nt
Organism: Manduca sexta (tobacco hornworm)
Lineage: Eukaryota; Metazoa; Arthropoda; Insecta; Lepidoptera; Sphingidae
Exons: 2
Source: RefSeq, a predicted model, not a curated record
CAAACGUCAAAUCGUAUGACGUAUCACUGAGUGUUUAUGAAUAUAAUAUACUUUUGUUCCAAAUGCCUCAAUGCAGUGCGUUAAAUUGUAAAACAGAGGAAUACAUUUAUUUCCAAAGGAAAGUAAACGUAGAAAGCAAUGGGAAUCUGCGUUACGUAUAAAAACUUCGAAGCUAGUAGCACAGCACGAUUGUGUGUUGCGCAUUUUACAGAAAAAGAUUAUUACGGGAAAAUCAAUUAUACAGGUUAUGAGCUCCUUGCAAAAUUUCUUAAAAAGACAGCUGUGCUAUCUGUGUUCUUCUUAACGAAGAUAAAACCAGAAAAUCCAGCUGCUGUGGCACAUCAACAACGUAUUGAACGAAGAAGUCAGUCGAGUAACAAAUGUAGAUAAUUCACAACCAUCAAGUAGCAAAGUUAACCUAAUAAGUGACAGAGACAAUUUACUGGAAGUUGAUCAUGAAGAAGCAGUCAAAACAGAAGACAACAGUGCAGUAGGAUGUACAUAUAUUAUGCAUGAAUUUAUAUCUAAGGGCACUCAAGUUGAUCAAGAACACAAAUAUGGGUUUAUGAAUAGAUAUAAAGAUGAUAAUGCCACUAUUAAGUUUUACACAGGUUUUGAAUCAUAUAAAAAAUUUAAUUUAGUCUACUCAGCUCUUAGUCCAGUGGUUCACAAAAUAAAAUAUUAUGGCAGCAAUGUGAUUAUUCUUAGCAGUGAUUCUAAUUCUAAUUUAUUAGUUGGUGCAAUACCUGGUAGCUUGCUGUUAUAUUGUUCCCAAGCAUUUGCAGGAUUGAUAAGUGAUCAGUAGGCAGUGGAACAAAGUGACCUUUUAGCAAAA